AAGCUGGAAUUGCUAGUAAUCACAGGUCAGCAUACUGUGGUGAAUACGUUCCCGGGCCUUGUACACACCGCCCGUCACACCAUGAGAGUUGAGAAUACCCGAAGUCCAUGUCAAAGUGGCCGAAGGUAGGCUUGAUGAUUGGGGUGAAGUCGUAACAAGGUAAC
RNAcentral lists this ribosomal RNA (164 nucleotides) under uncultured bacterium. RNAcentral describes it as "partial 16S ribosomal RNA". It matches the Rfam family "Bacterial small subunit ribosomal RNA", at positions 1323 to 1500 of the family's 1533-position model. The record is from RNAcentral.